RNAcentral lists this transfer RNA (67 nucleotides) under marine eukaryotic metagenome. It matches the Rfam family "tRNA". Rfam says of the family: Transfer RNA (tRNA) molecules are approximately 80 nucleotides in length. Their secondary structure includes four short double-helical elements and three loops (D, anti-codon, and T loops). The record is from RNAcentral.
GGGCGUAGCUCAAUGGUAGAGCGUCAGCCUUCCAAGCUGAAUGUUGAGGGUUCGAAUCCCUUCGCCC